This 433-nucleotide ribosomal RNA is filed under the name Providencia rettgeri. RNAcentral's name for it is "partial 23S ribosomal RNA". It matches the Rfam family "Bacterial large subunit ribosomal RNA", at positions 162 to 631 of the family's 2925-position model. Lineage: Bacteria; Pseudomonadati; Pseudomonadota; Gammaproteobacteria; Enterobacterales; Morganellaceae. The record is from RNAcentral.
AUACAUAGUCAAACGAAGCGAACCGGGGGAACUGAAACAUCUCAGUACCCCGAGGAAAAGAAAUCAACCGAGAUUCCCCUAGUAGCGGCGAGCGAACGGGGAGCAGCCCAGAGUCUUAAUCAGCAUUAGUAUCAGGAGAACGGUCUGGAAAGUCCGGCAGUAAAGGGUGAUAGCCCCGUAUCUGAAGAUGCUAGUGUUGUGAACUCGACGAGUAGGGCGGGACACGUGUUAUCCUGUCUGAAUAUGGGGGGACCAUCCUCCAAGGCUAAAUACUCCUGAUUGACCGAUAGUGAACCAGUACCGUGAGGGAAAGGCGAAAAGAACCCCGGCGAGGGGAGUGAAAUAGAACCUGAAACCGUGUACGUACAAGCAGUGGGAGCCUUGAUUUAUCAGGGUGACUGCGUACCUUUUGUAUAAUGGGUCAGCGACUUAU